UAUCUGUCGAGUCCUGAAGG
Molecule: unclassified non-coding RNA, 20 nt
Filed under: Mus musculus (house mouse)
Lineage: Eukaryota; Metazoa; Chordata; Mammalia; Rodentia; Muridae
Description: oocyte_clustered_small_RNA5399
Source: RNAcentral